UCCGCUGCUGGCGACGUGAGGGGCUUCUGGGAGGGGAGGGCUGCCUUCAGCGGAGCGGUCUUUUCGACGCCAAGUGGAAGUAAUCUGUGGAGCUGAGGGAACCCGGCCCCGAUGCGAGCCCUGAGUGAGGGGCGCUGAGCGGAGAGCCCGGCAGCACCGGUUGCUGUGUGCUGGUGCCUGAAGCCCUCAGCAGAACCCCGCAGAGGUGGGCUGGAGCCCUGCUCCCCAUAACGGCACUGCCAAGAGCAUCCCACCAUGCGUGCAGCCUUUAGGAGCAGCUGGGCGUGUUGAAAGACCAUCUUCAAGGUGUCUUGAAAACUAAUGAGUCUACAUUAUGUCAUCAGUCUGGUAGGAUUGGGUGGAGACAUGACAGCCUUGGAAUGGGAAGAUAGAAUGGAAAGCAGUCAUUCUUGCUGUAAAAGGCUUCCGAAAGGACCGGGCUGAAAAUGUUUGCAUGCCGUAAGAAGGCACGCAAGGCUUUCAAGCAAACCGGAUUCCGUUCGGCUCCGUUCCGUUCCGCGCUCUCCCGCGGCUCACAGUCGCCCCCUGCCGGCCGCCGCCGGCCGCUCGCUUCCCGGAGCGGCGUCACGCUGCUGGUGGCGUCACGCGUAGAGCUACGGCUGGAACGAGUGAAGUCCGUGUUUUCUAAGUGCAGCAAUGCAGCUGGUUCAGCUGGCCUGGAGAAGAUAAUUCUGCGUUUAGUAAUAGUGCCGCAAUAGCGUGUUUUCUUGAUGUAACUCUUGGCUGCACGGUGAGUGUUAAAUUCUCAUUCCUUCACAUCGUGAGUUUCUUCCACUGACUGCGUUUUGCUGGGAUUAAGGUUGGUGGGAAGCUUAUUUCUUGACUCAAGCCCAAGUAACUUCAGCUUUUAAAUUUGGAAGUUUCUUAGAGCCUGGAUUUGCCAAGAGUGCCUGCUGCACAUAGCCCACCUCUAUCAUGUGCUGAAUUGACCAGAUGAACUAACACAGAAGUUGGGCCUUUCUUCCUCUGUCAUUUACACAGCACACUCACUUUAGUUCCAACUACUUUCAACUUCGGCUAUGCAAUCCUUGAGACAGAAAGUACAACAAGGAAGUUCCUAAGCACGAAAAGCUCCUUGGCUUUCCUGCCUCGGAGGGAGAGGAACACUACAGGAAAGAAUACAUCAGGAGUGGACGACUAGUGAAUGAGGCUCCACUUGGAUCCCAUCUGGAAACGGCUAUCAGCAUUAUAUGGAGCUUGAAAAGUGUUGUGUGCAAGUAGGAUUCUAAAAGCCUCACUUGGAACCCAAAUCUGAAAGCAUCCUGUUUUGUUGUGUUUUGGGUUUUUUAGUUUUUGUUUUGUUUUGUUUUUAUGCUAAAUGUUUCUAAGUUGUUGGUUUUAACUGGAACUGCAGGAACCCAAGGCUUUCAAUUGCAUGCAAACCUGCCCUAACCUGACACCUUUUACGAGCUUAAAAAAAAAAUAUCAGAGGAAUGUAGGCUUCUACCAGAGCCUGCCACCAAAGCGUGGAAACAUCCUGCCAACAUGUUUACUCACUGCUGUAAUGAACACAUGCAAGAUUAGAAAGUUUGUUUAGGUAUUACUGGAAACCUUUUUCCAUUACAAUCCUUUCAGCUGUUUCACAAGGACUGAGCAGGAAAUUUGGCCUUUGGGCUCACACGUAAGGUACGUGUAGUGGUGAGGGAAGACUUAGCAGUGCCAGCUGUAACCAGGGAGCUGCCUAGUGAGUGCACUGUGGGUCACUACCAGACUAAGGUACAGGAACUUGCAAUGACAUGAACAACAGAGGGAAUUAAGAGUCACAGCCUAAAUUGGCUCUUUUGUCAGUGUCAUGUAAUGUGCUUGGGAUAGUUUGCCUGUGUAUGGCACAACUGCAAUAUAAUUGCAAACAUCAAGAAAUGAGUAUGUAGACUUAUGUGGGUUGGGAUGGCUGUAACAUAAAUCUGAGGCAGGGGAGGAGCUGCAGCCCAGUGAUGCAAAGAGUUGAUUUCUCUGCUGUAUAAAACACAUCCUGUGAUUUCCUACUGCUUCUUAGUGUAGUCAAGCACAAACUAUUUAAGGCAGGGAUUCACUGUGCGUGCAAUUGUGUGUUAUGUAAUAAUAAUGAUGUGUCUAAUUGCUAUUGAAAAAAAAAGUAAUAAUAAUAAUAAUGGCUGUGAUUUCUGCCUCCCAAAGUAGUGCGUAUUUUCUUUGAAGUAAUCAGGGACUUGUUGCUAGGCAGUUAAUAUUUAAGGUACCUUAAAUAUUUUAAUGCGUCUAUGCCUGCUGUUUCUAGGCACCAAUAUUUGUUUAUGUUAUCAUUAUACAACCCUUUCUACCUUAUAUCCUUUGUUCAGUCUAAUCUAAUGGAUCCAUACAGUGAAAUUUCAGUCACGCUUUUUUUUCACAGAUAGCAGAUUUACUUUACUACAGUUGAGAAUGAUAAAAUCCCUCUGACGCAGAUUUCUUCUUUGUCAGGAUGUUUUGCAGUAAUGUUUUGCACUGAUACCAUUUAUUCUUUCUUUGCACAGUCCUUCUCCCAGGUGUGUUCUGUCUUUGUAAUGGCUUGGUGUGUAGGCAUGUAGUGAUUUUAAUAAAGGUUUGAAUUUAA
Long non-coding RNA from Tympanuchus pallidicinctus (lesser prairie-chicken), 2572 nucleotides. RefSeq lists it as uncharacterized. The record is from RefSeq and is a predicted model, not a curated record. NCBI's taxonomy places the organism in Eukaryota, Metazoa, Chordata, Aves, Galliformes, Phasianidae. The transcript is spliced from 4 exons.